AGGUGGAGCGAUUUGUCUGGUUAAUUCCGAUAACGAACGAGACUCUAGCCGGCUAACUAGUCCGUCGAUGCCAUACGUCGUCGGCGCAUAGGACUUCUUAGAGGGACCAGUGGCGUUUAGCCACGCGAGAUUGAGCAAUAACA
Molecule: ribosomal RNA, 143 nt
Filed under: uncultured eukaryote
Lineage: Eukaryota
Description: partial 18S ribosomal RNA
Rfam family: Eukaryotic small subunit ribosomal RNA
Source: RNAcentral